Molecule: small RNA, 2264 nt
Filed under: Rattus norvegicus (Norway rat)
Lineage: Eukaryota; Metazoa; Chordata; Mammalia; Rodentia; Muridae
Description: uncharacterized LOC102555119
Source: RNAcentral
UCCUUUCAACUGCACAUGGCUUCCCCCAGAUCCCCCGCCCGCCCUGGGCUCAUGCAUGCUGUCUUCAGCUGUAUGUUAUCUCAAAUAAUUACCCUCGCUUCUGGCUGUCCCUGGCGACUUCUGCUGCUAAAAAAGCUACUCAUUGUCGGAGACUGAAGAGGGAUUUCCAGCCUGCUUCUUGUGGCCGGGCAACGGCUCUUAAUUAACCACUCAGGUAUUGUGGGAGCUCCCAGCCCGGCUCGCUUCCAUAUGGCGCGAACAUGUCCGCAGUGAUAAGCACGGGAGGAAAUACUGUAUCAAAAGGGAGCUCGCACAACCGAAAGCUUGUGCAAAUUAUUUUUAAUGAUUCUUCUCUGAAAUGCAGACUGCCCAAUGGGAUGGAGUUUCCAGUGUGAUGUCAUUGGAAACAUUGCUCCUCAGAGCAGUGAAAUUAGCCCGAUAGAAAAAGAACACAGAGCCUCACUUUCCAAUCAGGAGCCUUGUUCGCAACAGCCACAAGGAAGCCACACAAAGACCCAUCAAUAUAUGAUCAAAACUGUCCUACGGGAAGAGGAUGGAAUAUUACUCAACCUUUAAAAGCAAGUAAAUUCUGAAACAGCCUACAACAUGGAUCAUGUCAGGUUAAUUCAAGGCUAUCACGACUGUCAUCAUAUGAAACCAGUGAGCAAAAGACAGCGACCUAAUGACUGCAUAGUAAAUGCCAGAGGAGUCCUUGAGGCAUCUGUGAUCUGAGAGAGGGAGAAAUCAGGCUGACAAAUACUGACUACACAGGAGGAGCUUCCCCAGGGGCAGCAGAAUGGCCAAGCUGCUGAUUUCGUCGAAGGUUUUCAAUUAGUCAUUUGACUGAACACAUCUGUGCUGGCAUCCACCCAGAGCUGGACGGCCCCGCUAUUACCAGUUUACACCCGCUGAACCGUGGCCAUAAACUCGGAUGGGAAUAAACCUAAAUUGGCCUUUUAGAUAUGGCUGAAAAGUUGAACCAUUGCAGUGUUUUAUAGCGGUGUCAGGAAGGUGUGAACUUUUCCACCUUCAGGCCUAGGAACCUGCUGCGAUAUUCCACUCCGUGCAGAUGACUCACUUAUGGGCUGGCUCUAAUAUCUGUUUACCAAUUUGUGUCCAUGACUUAAUCGGCCUGCUAAGUGGGUAAGACUGCACCGUCAGCUGUGGUGGUUUUUAGUUUAACUGUGUUGGUAAACAAAGCCGAGAGGCUCCCUUGAUGCUAUUGGGCAGUAGAUGGAUCCAGCCUCCUGCACCUUUUACAGAAAUGAACACUGCUUUGUAGCAGACCAGAGAAUUCCCUAAGGCUGGAGGUGCCACCCGACUGCAGUAGGACAGAGAAUCUGUUACUAAUAUGCAGAAGCAGAAGCAGGUGACCAGGCGACUGUGGUGGCACGGCUGUCUCCUUGAUGCUGGGCUCCUGAGUGGAUUGCUGAUAUUGUUGAAAGCUGAGGAUCAAGAGAACCAACCCUACACUGUCCUCUGCACUCCCAAGGGACAUCAGGCAAGGUGGCUGAGGACAGUUGUGCAGCUUCUGAGGAGUGACUGGGCAAUAUUUCCCAUAGUUCCUGCAGCAGUGACCUUCUCCCAGGGCUUUAGCUUUUGGUAGUCUCACUGUGGCCUCAUGGAUGCCUGUGUUCACCCUCAGGAGACAUGAUCAACACCAAUGGUUCCCAGCGAACCUCAAAGGCUGUCUUCUGUGGGAGGACUCAUUUCCGAUGGGCCCCUCCCCUCCCUUAUAUGCCAUAUCAUUUCCUAUUUCCUGUUGCCCCUUAUCUCCUCCAGUCUGAGUGCAGGUUGGAAUUUGGUUCAACAGCCAUUCCACUCUCUCUUGUGGCAUGCUUGUACCUUUCCCCAUUGCUGUCUGAAGUCCUCAGACUCUCCAUCAUCUCCAUGGUGAUCUUUCUCUCCAUCACUUCCUCACCCAGUCCUGUGUUCCGGCUUCAUUGCCAUGCCACAUAACACAUGGGAGUCCCCACGCGCAUGCCUUUAGUCUCUAUAAAAGGAGCUCCAGGACCAGAGUACAGUUAUCCUGCCCACCUCAGAGAAAAGGAAAAUACAGUGUAAGUAGAUGAGGUGGAGAAAACUGCUCUAGGUCACACCCACAGCAGGCAAGCGCAGGGAUUCGAAUGCAAGCAAUAGGCUACCCGGCUUGGGCAAGUUCCUUAAACCCGGGGUCUGAAACAGCAAACUGAGGUCAGGAUGGCUUUCAUCAGCUGGGCUGGCUUUAUGUUGGCACAUUUUCCACAGUGGUGAAUAUGUGUGUG